RNAcentral lists this ribosomal RNA (269 nucleotides) under uncultured bacterium. RNAcentral's name for it is "partial 16S ribosomal RNA". It matches the Rfam family "Bacterial small subunit ribosomal RNA", at positions 565 to 832 of the family's 1533-position model. The record is from RNAcentral.
GAGCACGUAGGUGGGUUUGUAAGUCGGUUGUGAAAGCCUUCCGCUCAACGGAAGAACAGCAUCCGAUACUGCAUGGCUUGAGUGCGGGAGGGGAGAGUGGAACUUCUGGUGGAGCGGUGAAAUGCGUAGAUAUCAGAAGGAACGCCGGCGGCGAAAGCGACUCUCUGGCCCGCAACUGACGCUGAGUGUGCGAAAGCUAGGGGAGCAAACGGGAUUAGAUACCCCGGUAGUCCUAGCCGUAAACGAUGGGCACUAAGUAGAGGGGUUUU